GGUGGCUCAGUGGAAGAGUUCUUGCCUUGCAUGCAUGAGGCCCUGGGUUCAAUUCCUCAGCACCA
This 65-nucleotide transfer RNA is filed under the name Dipodomys ordii (Ord's kangaroo rat). It matches the Rfam family "tRNA". From Rfam's summary of the family: Transfer RNA (tRNA) molecules are approximately 80 nucleotides in length. The record is from Rfam by way of RNAcentral. Lineage: Eukaryota; Metazoa; Chordata; Mammalia; Rodentia; Heteromyidae.